RNAcentral lists this ribosomal RNA (460 nucleotides) under uncultured bacterium. RNAcentral's name for it is "partial 16S ribosomal RNA". It matches the Rfam family "Bacterial small subunit ribosomal RNA", at positions 338 to 795 of the family's 1533-position model. The record is from RNAcentral.
CCUACGGGUGGCAGCAGUGAGGAAUAUUGGUCAAUGGGCGAGAGCCUGAACCAGCCAAGUAGCGUGAAGGAUGAAGGCUCUAUGGUUUGUAAACUUCUUUUAUAUAGGAAUAAAGUGAGGCACGUGUUCCUUUUUGUAUGUACCAUAUGAAUAAGCAUCGGCUAACUCCGUGCCAGCAGCCGCGGUAAUACGGAGGAUGCGAGCGUUAUCCGGAUUUAUUGGGUUUAAAGGGUGCGUAGGUGGUUCAUUAAGUCAGCGGUGAAAGUUUGUGGCUCAACCAUAAAAUUGCCGUUGAAACUGGUAGACUUGAGUACAGUUGAGGUAGGCGGAAUGCGUGGUGUAGCGGUGAAAUGCAUAGAUAUCACGCAGAACUCCGAUUGCGAAGGCAGCUUACUAAACUAUAACUGACAUUGAAGCACGAAAGCGUGGGGAUCAAACAGGAUUAGAUACCCUUGUAGUC